Panicum virgatum (switchgrass) is the source of this 475-nucleotide long non-coding RNA. RefSeq lists it as uncharacterized. NCBI's taxonomy places the organism in Eukaryota, Viridiplantae, Streptophyta, Magnoliopsida, Poales, Poaceae. The transcript has 2 exons. The record is from RefSeq and is a predicted model, not a curated record.
UUCAGAUUUGAACGUGUUGAUCGUGCAGAGAUAGCAGAAGUUUCAUGCUAGACAGAGCACAAUUUCUUAUUGAUUACAUCCGGUUGGGAGGAAAAAGGAAAAACAAAAUUUAUUGACACAAACUAAUCUCCGUGUACAACACUCUUAUCUGCCAAAUAACAGUGGAUCCAUAUUCGGUAUUCAGGUACUGUUUUCAGCUCUAGAAGAUCUGAGUCAGCGGUUGGUUUCUCCAAGCACUUGCUUCUAAUCUCCUUGGUCUCACUCCGUCAAGACAUUGAUGUACUGAUGGACUGAUUAUCUGAACAAACUGUCUCUGCAUGAUGAUUACUGUUCAUCCUUGUUAUCAGUCACUUUUCCUUGAGGGAGAAUAAGAUUGUAAGGUCAGACUUCUAGCUGUGGUUCACAUAUUGCGUCUUUGUUUACUUGGCCCCAUGAUAUUUCCACAGUAAAAUAUGAUAGCAUGUCCUCUUAGCUA